CCAGAAUGUAGGCAAUGGAAACGAAGGUCUACGGUGGCGUGAGAAGAGCUGGAUGGUGAAGUCGAAGGUGAAGGUGAAGGCGGUCAAUGGAUGAAACCAGGAACAGACCGGAACACUGACACGAAGACGACAACACGAACACAAUCCAGCACAUGACCACGGAAGACGGUAAUCCAACUAGGAAGUGGAGACAUGAAUGAGGAUCUGACAACAGACAGAGAGAUGAGUGAGUAUAUGUAGCUGAGUGGAGAUGAGGAUCAGCUGGAGCGAGACAAUCAACACACAGGUGACAACAAUCAACCAAACGAGCACAUGGAGACUACCACCGGUGUUCUGACUGGGACACGGCAUCACAGUAAGGCAAGGGGAGUAACAUUUCCAUCACACGCCUUUGUGGAGUGGACACUGGCGAGAAAUGGAUCUCCAUUCCCCGGCGGUUCCAAGGAGUUUAUCGCCAGUGCCAUUCCUGACCCAGAGCCCAGCCCACCAUCUCCCCCGCAGUAUGAAGCAUCAGCCUGAGCCCACUGAUGACGGAGAGCCAUUUCCCACUGUGAUCUCCGAGCCAGAGCAAAGCCAAUCGACUGAGCAGAGGAUCGCCCCGGAAGUUGAGCCCAAUCCAUCAGACCAGGUGCGAGAGCCGACUACAGAGCCCACCACGAGGAAGAAAGCUGUGGAUGGUGUGAGUGUGGAGAGGAGCUCCACCCACUGCAUCGCGGCUGAGUAUGGUGCGGCAUUGGUGCCAAAAUGAAGAGGGGAGGGCUCCAGCCCCCAAAUCCAAUUUAGAGCACCCUCCAAUACCCGCUCCUCGAAAAUGCCCAGCCUCCCACCCGCUCCAGCCUCCUCCACUGCUGUCAUCUGCCCCUCUGCUCGCCAUCAGCCCACCAUCAUUACAGUGCGAGCCCCACGGGACUGUCAUCCUCCAGUAUCCCUCACCUCCAGGCUCCGAAGCCCCGACUCCACCUCAGCCCGUAGACACAGCAGCUCCACCUCGGCUUCUAGCUCCCUCGCCUCCACCAUCAGCCGUCGAUCCAUCUGCUCCACCGGGCUCCUUCGUCCCUCUGGCUCCACCUUGAUUGGCCGUUGACCCACCAUCGCCUCUGGACUCCUCUCCUCUGGCUACCCCUUCUUCACUCCAUCCCACCGGCUCUGUUGGGCUGCUUCCUCCCGCCAGCUCCACCUUGGUCCUCAGUCGCUCCGGCUCCGCCACGGAUCUCUGGAUCUCUGCCUUGGUCGCCAGAGCCCUCAGCUCGACCCUGGCCCCCCGGAUCCUCGGUAUCACCCUGGCUCUUUGGCUCUCCAUCUCCGCCUCGGGCUCCUCCUCCACCUGCUCCACCGCCAUUGGUCAGCCCCCUGGAGUGGGCUGCCAUACCUCCUCCAUGGCUCCUCCCACCAUCGGCUCCACCGUGGGCCGCUAUUAUGGCUGUGCCCUGGGUCCUGCUGUGCUCCUCCUUCUGUCUCCCAUUGAUUGUGUUAAUUUGAUUCCAGGUGUGUCUAGUUCUUCCCAAAUCAUCGUGUUUAAAAGCCCUAGUCCUUUCGGUCAGUGUUUGUUGGUUCUGAACGUCCUUCCAUGUGUUCCAUGUGUCUCCUAUGUUCCCCUUGUGAUUGGAUUAUUAAAGACUGUGAUAUUGAACUCCUUGUACCUUGCUCUCCGAGUGUAUUGUGACAUAUAACUAAUUUUUACAAAUGCGGAUGUCCCUGGAUGUCCCCAAAACGUGUGUAUUUAGAUCACUUACAAACCUGUCCUCAAAAUACUGAAGGUACACACACACUUUUUUUUUAUCCCC
Cyprinus carpio carpio is the source of this 1784-nucleotide long non-coding RNA. NCBI's taxonomy places the organism in Eukaryota, Metazoa, Chordata, Actinopteri, Cypriniformes, Cyprinidae. The record is from Ensembl.